This 332-nucleotide ribosomal RNA is filed under the name uncultured bacterium. RNAcentral's name for it is "bacterial SSU rRNA". It matches the Rfam family "Bacterial small subunit ribosomal RNA", at positions 568 to 898 of the family's 1533-position model. The record is from RNAcentral.
CGCGUAGGCGGGCAUUUAAGUUGUGGGUGAAAUCCCGAGGCUUAACCUCGGAGCUGCCUGCAAAACUGGGUGCCUUGAGGUAUGGAGAGGGAAGUGGAAUUCCAGGUGUAGCGGUGAAAUGCGUAGAUAUCUGGAGGAACACCCGUGGCGAAGGCGGCUUCCUGGCCAUAUCCUGACGCUGAGGUGCGAAAGCUAGGGGAGCGAACGGGAUUAGAUACCCCGGUAGUCCUAGCCGUAAACGAUGGAUACUAGGUGUUAGAGGUAUCGACCCCUCUAGUGCCGGAGCUAACGCAUUAAGUAUCCCGCCUGGGGAGUACGACCGCAAGGUUGAA